GAUGAACGCUAGCGAUAGGCUUAACACAUGCAAGUCGAGGGGCAGCACAAGGUAGCUUGCUAUCUGGGUGGCGACCGGCGCACGGGUGCGUAACGCGUAUGCAACUUGCCCUAUACAGGAGGAUAACCCGUCGAAAGACGGACUAAUACUGCGUAUGCUCACAACUUGGCAUCAAGUGGUGAGGAAAGAAAUUCGGUAUAGGAUAGGCAUGCGUCCCAUUAGCUUGUUGGUGAGGUAACGGCUCACCAAGGCAACGAUGGGUAGGGGAACUGAGAGGUUUACCCCCACACUGGGUACGAGACACCGACCAGGACUCCACGGGAGGCAGCAGGUGAGAAUUAUGAGCAAUGGGCGCGAGCCUUGACCAACCAAAGUGCCGUGAAGAUUGCUUGCCUUAUGGAUGUAAACCUUCUUUAAACGGGAAUAACAAGAGUCACGUGUGACUCCCUGCAUGUACCGUAUGAAUAAGCAUCGGCUAACUCCGUG
RNAcentral lists this ribosomal RNA (486 nucleotides) under uncultured bacterium. RNAcentral describes it as "partial 16S ribosomal RNA". It matches the Rfam family "Bacterial small subunit ribosomal RNA", at positions 28 to 507 of the family's 1533-position model. The record is from RNAcentral.